GACGAACGCUGGCGGCGUGCUUAACACAUGCAAGUCGAACGAUGAAGCCCAGCUUGCUGGGCGGAUUAGUGGCGAACGGGUGAGUAACACGUGAGUAACCUGCCCUUGACUCUGGGAUAAGCGCUGGAAACGGCGUCUAAUACCGGAUACGACCUGCCCCGGCAUCGGGUGCGGGUGGAAAGUUUUUCGGUCAAGGAUGGACUCGCGGCCUAUCAGGUAGUUGGUGAGGUAAUGGCUCACCAAGCCGACGACGGGUAGCCGGCCUGAGAGGGUGACCGGCCACACUGGGACUGAGACACGGCCCAGACUCCUACGGGAGGCAGCAGUGGGGAAUAUUGCACAAUGGGCGAAAGCCUGAUGCAGCAACGCCGCGUGGGGGAUGACGGCCUUCGGGUUGUAAACCUCUUUUAGUAGGGAAGAAGGGCUUCGGCUUGACGGUACCUGCAGAAAAAGCACCGGCUAACUACGUGCCAGCAGCCGCGGUAAUACGUAGGGUGCAAGCGUUGUCCGGAAUUAUUGGGCGUAAAGAGCUCGUAGGCGGUUUGUCGCGUCUGCUGUGAAAACCCGAGGCUCAACCUCGGGCCUGCAGUGGGUACGGGCAGACUAGAGUGCGGUAGGGGAGAAUGGAAUUCCUGGUGUAGCGGUGGAAUGCGCAGAUAUCAGGAGGAACACCGAUGGCGAAGGCAGUUCUCUGGGCCGUUACUGACGCUGAGGAGCGAAAGCGUGGGGAGCGAACAGGAUUAGAUACCCUGGUAGUCCACGCCGUAAACGUUGGGAACUAGAUGUGGGGACCUUUCCACGGUCUCCGUGUCGCAGCUAACGCAUUAAGUUCCCCGCCUGGGGAGUACGGCCGCAAGGCUAAAACUCAAAGGAAUUGACGGGGGCCCGCACAAGCGGCGGAGCAUGCGGAUUAAUUCGAUGCAACGCGAAGAACCUUACCAAGGCUUGACAUAUACCGGAAACUUCCAGAAAUGGUUGCCCCGCAAGGUCGGUAUACAGGUGGUGCAUGGUUGUCGUCAGCUCGUGUCGUGAGAUGUUGGGUUAAGUCCCGCAACGAGCGCAACCCUCGUUCUAUGUUGCCAGCACGUCAUGGUGGGAACUCAUAGGAGACUGCCGGGGUCAACUCGGAGGAAGGUGGGGAUGACGUCAAAUCAUCAUGCCCCUUAUGUCUUGGGCUUCACGCAUGCUACAAUGGCCGGUACAAAGGGCUGCGAUACCGUAAGGUGGAGCGAAUCCCAAAAAGCCGGUCUCAGUUCGGAUUGAGGUCUGCAACUCGACCUCAUGAAGUCGGAGUCGCUAGUAAUCGCAGAUCAGCAACGCUGCGGUGAAUACGUUCCCGGGCCU
RNAcentral lists this ribosomal RNA (1344 nucleotides) under uncultured bacterium. RNAcentral describes it as "bacterial SSU rRNA". It matches the Rfam family "Bacterial small subunit ribosomal RNA", at positions 28 to 1381 of the family's 1533-position model. The record is from RNAcentral.